CAUUUUUCAAGGUCAUUUGUCACCUUACCUUUUGUAAAAGGUCAAAUGCCUUUAUAAUGAACUUAGUUGAAGUUAUAAUCAAAUAACCUCAUAUCAAGACAUUUCAGGGGCACCAACUCCUAUAAGAUGCCAUUAAAUUGUAUAAGAGUAAAUGUAGCAUAUCUUCAUUACAAUAAAGCAGACAUUUUGCACUUGUUCUUUUAUAUGUAUCUUUCAAAGUGUCGAGAAAAUGCAAAAACAAGCAAAAGUCACAAUUGAGAACUUGACCUUGACCUUUGACCUUGACCUCAUUUUCUAAGUUAGGAACUAGGGGCCCC
This 317-nucleotide long non-coding RNA is filed under the name Mytilus galloprovincialis (Mediterranean mussel). The record is from RNAcentral. Lineage: Eukaryota; Metazoa; Mollusca; Bivalvia; Mytilida; Mytilidae.